ACAAACUUUCUCAAAGACAACCUUUGAGUGCAUUCUGUUAAAAAAUUCUCUUCUCUAUUUUUCUUAAAAGAAACAAAUCCUAAGAGAGUCAUCAUCACUAUAGUCAUGGUUCUCUCACGUAGUCCUAUCAUCUUUCUCUCCCUUUUACUUACAUUUGUAGCUCUCAGUGCUGCUCAAUCUCCUAUGAUGUCCCCCACAAUGCCACCAUCUAAAAUGUCAAUGCCACCAAUGACCACCACUCCUCCACCUAUGGCCACCAUGUCACCACCACCAAUGGCCACCAUGUCACCACCACCAAUGGCACCGCCAAUGAGCCCAAUGGCGCCAUCAAUGAGCCCAAUGAGUCCAAUGGCACCAUCCAUGAGCCCAAUGGACUCACCACCAGCUCCUAUGGCACCGGGAAUGGCACCCAUGGGGUCAGGGCCAGCGCCGGGACCUAUGAAUGGUGGAAUGGCUCCUCCUCCUCCGUCUAAUGGUUUUGUUCAUGGAAGUAGCAUGGCUAUGGUAGCAAUUCUUGGGAGUGUAGCACUUUUGUUCUAAAUUUUAUUUGGUCAUUUAAUUUGCUUUCAUAUUGUUGUAGAUUACAAAUAAUUUACUUAUUUGUGUAUUUAUUUUGGUAAGCUCAUUGUAUUGUUGAUUUUGUGUGGAAUAGAGUGAGGAAUUUGAGGACGUCUGGUUGGAGAUUAUCAAAUGUUACAUUCUCUAUUGUGUAACAUUUUGAACAUUAGCUUAAUAAGACACUAUUCUCUCUUUCUUUCCAU
This 761-nucleotide long non-coding RNA is filed under the name Nicotiana benthamiana. RNAcentral's name for it is "long non-coding RNA (NBEN_LNC022673)". Lineage: Eukaryota; Viridiplantae; Streptophyta; Magnoliopsida; Solanales; Solanaceae. The record is from RNAcentral.